GCUUUUUUUUUCCUGGGUCUUUUUUAUCACUUCUUGUUUUACUUGAUGUUGUUAUUUGUGGCGAUGGAAACUGGAUGAUGGUGGAUCAAUUGGUUUGGAUGCUUUUUUUUGUGGAGUUUAAGGAAGCUACUGUUAGAAAAUCUUCAAUCCGAUUUUAAUGAUUUUAUUUUACUUUGAUGAACAUAUAUUGGUUCCAGUCAAAUAUUCUACAAGGAUAAAAGGAGAGCAAAUGAUUUGAGUUUGGAUUAUGUAACAAUAUCUGAUGACUAAUUUAUGGUACUUAAAAUAUAUGGCCUUAUUGAAUUACAGAGUGAAAAAAUUAAUUUAAUUGACUACAAGAACUUGGUCUAAGGUUUCUUUAACCGAGAUAAGUUGAUUAAUUUUUGGUGUGUUCAUGCUGUUGAACAUCUUGGGCCCUGGCUAUGUUCACUAUUAGUGGUUUCCUUGCGAAUAAAAAUUAUGCAAUACAUCCAGGACAAUGCAUGUGGCCGCCAUGUACAUGUUGGACUAAUCUUGCAGGGGAGAUCUAUGUGAAUGCAAGAGUAUGUGCUGUGUUAGCAUAUUGAGCAAUCACCCUUUUAUUGAGAUGGUGUAGGUUUGAGAAAUUAGAUUUCUUAAGAGUUUGGGAAAAUGAGUCUAGAAAAACAUCUUCUCAUUAUGCAUCUUGACUAAACCCUACUCUGCAAAAUCUUAUUUCAACCAUUUAUGUUGAUGUUAUGAAUUUUUCUUGAGAUUAAUGAACCAUUUAUUCAGGGCAGUACUUUCAACAGACUAAAAAAAAAAAAAAAAUU
Molecule: unclassified non-coding RNA, 791 nt
Filed under: Hevea brasiliensis (rubber tree)
Lineage: Eukaryota; Viridiplantae; Streptophyta; Magnoliopsida; Malpighiales; Euphorbiaceae
Source: RNAcentral